RNAcentral lists this ribosomal RNA (274 nucleotides) under uncultured bacterium. RNAcentral's name for it is "partial 16S ribosomal RNA". It matches the Rfam family "Bacterial small subunit ribosomal RNA", at positions 523 to 796 of the family's 1533-position model. The record is from RNAcentral.
CUACGGAGGGUGCGAGCGUUAAUCGGAAUUACUGGGCGUAAAGGGUGCGUAGGCGGCUUGAUAAGUCGGAUGUGAAAGCCCCGGGCUUAACCUGGGAAUUGCAUUCGAUACUGUCAGGCUAGAGUAUGUCAGAGGUUGGCGGAAUUCCUGGUGUAGCGGUGAAAUGCGUAGAUAUCAGGAGGAACACCAGUGGCGAAGGCGGCUAACUGGGACAAUACUGACGCUGAGGCACGAAAGCGUGCGGAGCAAACAGGAUUAGAAACCCCUGUAGUCC